GGCGGUGCAUUUCCGUAUGUUCUGUUUUGCUGACGGACAUCCGGUUCACGUCGCGUUGAGGCUGGGCCCAUCUGGAAAGCAGCAAAAAAGGGUUGAAUAGAGCAGCACCGGUCUCCGUUUGUUAGAGCCCACCAAAAAGCGAAGAACGAUGUUGUAAUUUAUUCCGAUCCACAGCAGAUCCAUGUCUAGACAAAUAAAGCGCAUCUAUGCAGCAAACAGCCCUCGAGAUGGCCCGAACUACUACUCUUGAUUCCUCCGGUCGAUCAUGUAAGUAAGCCCUUUUUGCAGUCAACUUCUGAUUGUGAGGAACGGUGCACGGAAGCAACAGAAUGUGGUUAAAGACGCCUAACCGGAAAAGGUCAAAAGCGAACUAAAUGUUAAGAAUCCCUCCUAUGACAAAAAUGACAGCAAAUCCGGAAUCCAAAGAAGGACUGGUUUUGUUGUUUCUACUUAGAUGUGUAGAAAUAUCCAACACCAAACACGAAAUCAUUCUCAAAAUAGAUCGCAAGACAGGAGGAACAAAACACAUGCCUUUCCCGAGCGAGAUGUUUGCUCUGAACUCCGAAUCUGGGGAUGACGGCGUUUUCUGGCAUUCUUGUAGCAGAGCAUAGACUAAACCAUCAGCUUUGUCAUUUGGAUCAGUUUGGAUUGUGGAUAGUUCGAGGCAUCCCUGCUACCACCGAAUCAGAUUUGGGAAGAAACAAAAAAAACAAACAGAUCAGAACAAAACAGAGCUAAAGUUCGAUCAGCAGUUUAUAUUCAAGCGGCUCCUGCAAUGUCCAUGGUUCUGGAAACGCCAUACGACAAAAAGACUACCGCCGAGGAACCGGCUGUUAACUUCGAAUUUCUAAACGGACAUGAUCGGCAAUUCGACUCUAACAGAUUCAGGUUGGCUGAAAGUCCUCAAGUGUGUACGAUACCGAUGUGCGUCUGUCGUGUUCGUUAGUCUUUACACACUGCUCUCCUUUUUCUCGGAAAGCAGGAAUCACGAUUUGCUGCAUCGAUAAUUGAAAAUUUCAAACAGGUUCGCUAUUAAAUUGCAUGUGUUCUCUCCAACAACAUACAUAGUUGAAUUGCUUAGCCUUUCAACAAAAUUAUGGUUUAUUGAAUUUAUUGUGUUGGAUGGCAAGCGAUUGAACGAUUUUACUGGUUUCAUUAAAAAAAAAAAAUUAGAAUAGAGUAUCAAAGAAAAAAUGUUUAGACAUUGGUUAGCAAAUUCUUAAAAAACUUUCAUAUUAUAGAAAUCUCUGCCGAGUUUAUUUAUAAGCAAGUAUUAUAAACCAUGACGUGAACAAUCACUAUCACAAGCCACUAAAGUAAGAAUGUUUUCAGAUAGCAAAAAAAAAACAGAAUUAUA
Molecule: long non-coding RNA, 1357 nt
Organism: Uranotaenia lowii
Lineage: Eukaryota; Metazoa; Arthropoda; Insecta; Diptera; Culicidae
Exons: 3
Source: RefSeq, a predicted model, not a curated record